Molecule: non-coding RNA, 144 nt
Organism: Arachis ipaensis
Lineage: Eukaryota; Viridiplantae; Streptophyta; Magnoliopsida; Fabales; Fabaceae
Source: RefSeq, a predicted model, not a curated record
GAGGAGUGCACGAUCUUGGCACACAAAGACGCAGCGAUUAUGAGGGUUCUUGAGGCUCGGGAUGGGAAGGGGCGGCUGAUUGGGAUGAACGUAGGGCUCAUAGAACCGACAGGUGAAGUGUGCUAUGAUGGUCAGGUUUUGAAA